This 440-nucleotide ribosomal RNA is filed under the name uncultured bacterium. Its description in RNAcentral is "partial 16S ribosomal RNA". It matches the Rfam family "Bacterial small subunit ribosomal RNA", at positions 338 to 795 of the family's 1533-position model. The record is from RNAcentral.
CCUACGGGUGGCAGCAGUGGGGGAUAUUGCACAAUGGGGGAAACCCUGAUGCAGCGACGCCGCGUGGGUGAAGAAGCGCCUCGGCGCGUAAAGCCCUGUCAGCAGGGAAGAAAAUGACGGUACCUGAAGAAGAAGCCCCGGCUAACUACGUGCCAGCCGCCGCGGUAAUACGAAGGGGGCAAGCGUUAUCCGGAUUUACUGGGUGUAAAGGGCGCGCAGACGGCGGUGCAAGCCAGGAGUGAAAGCCCGGGGCCCAACCCCGGGACUGCUCUUGGAACUGCGUGGCUAGAGUGCAGGAGGGGCAGGCGGAAUUCCUGGUGUAGCGGUGAAAUGCGUAGAUAUCAGGAGGAACACCGGUGGCGAAGGCGGCCUGCUGGACUGCAACUGACGUUGAGGCCCGAAAGCGUGGGGAGCAAACAGGAUUAGAUACCCGAGUAGUC